This 171-nucleotide unclassified non-coding RNA is filed under the name uncultured fungus. Its description in RNAcentral is "sequence contains ITS1, 5.8S rRNA gene". The record is from RNAcentral. Lineage: Eukaryota; Fungi.
CUGAAGAUCAUAGAGUCUGAGACUGCGUUCAACCAAGCGUGUGCUCGACUCUUACUCUUUAUCCACACACACCUUUGUGCACCAUGGGGGACCGUAAAAAAGUCCCCCCUUUUCACAUAAAAACCAGGUUAUAAUGCAUGGCUUUAUAAUGCUCUACGGAGUAAAAAAAAA